RNAcentral lists this ribosomal RNA (576 nucleotides) under Parasarocladium gamsii. RNAcentral describes it as "partial large subunit ribosomal RNA". It matches the Rfam family "Eukaryotic large subunit ribosomal RNA", at positions 87 to 686 of the family's 3401-position model. Lineage: Eukaryota; Fungi; Ascomycota; Sordariomycetes; Hypocreales; Sarocladiaceae. The record is from RNAcentral.
CGGCGAGUGAAGCGGCAACAGCCUCAAAUUUGAAAUCUGGCCUUCGGGUCCGAGUUGUAAUUUGCAGAGGAUGCUUUUGACGAUGCGGCGACCGAGUCCCCUGGAAUGGGGCGCCAUAGAGGGUGAGAGCCCCGUAUGGUCGCACUGCUGAGUCUCUGUAAAGCUCCUUCAACGAGUCGAGUAGUUUGGGAAUGCUGCUCUAAAUGGGAGGUGUAUGUCUUCUAAAGCUAAAUACCGGCCAGUGACCGAUAGCGCACAAGUAGAGUGAUCGAAAGGUGAAAAGAACUUUGAAAAGAGAGUUAAAAAGUACGUGAAAUUGUCAAAAGGGAAGCAUUUAUGACCAGACUUGGGCGUGGUUGAUCAUCCGGCGUUCUCGCCGGUGCACUCUGCCCGCCUAGGCCAGCAUCAGUUCGCUUCGGGGGAGAAAGGCUUCGGGAAUGUGGCUCCUCCGGGAGUGUUAUAGCCCGUUGCGUAAUGCCCUGGGGUGGACUGAGGUCCGCGCUCGCGCUUGGAUGUUGGCAUAAUGGUCAUCAAUGACCCGUCUUGAAACACGGACCAAGGAGUCGUCUUCGUAUG